GAUGAACGCUGGCGGCGUGCCUAAUACAUGCAAGUCGAGCGAACGGACGAGAAGCUUGCUUCUCUGAUGUUAGCGGCGGACGGGUGAGUAACACGUGGAUAACCUACCUAUAAGACUGGGAUAACUUCGGGAAACCGGAGCUAAUACCGGAUGAUAUUUUGAACCGCAUGGUUCAAAAGUGAAAGACGGUCUUGCUGUCACUUAUAGAUGGAUCCGCGCUGCAUUAGCUAGUUGGUAAGGUAACGGCUUACCAAGGCAACGAUGCAUAGCCGACCUGAGAGGGUGAUCGGCCACACUGGAACUGAGACACGGUCCAGAACCCUAAGGGAGGCAGCAGUGGGGAAUCUUCCGCAAUGGGCGAAAGCCUGACGGAGCAACGCCGCGUGAGUGAUGAAGGUCUUCGGAUCGUAAAACUCUGUUAUUAGGGAAGAACAUAUGUGUAAGUAACUGUGCACAUCUUGACGGUACCUAAUCAGAAAGCCACGGCUAACUACGUG
This 497-nucleotide ribosomal RNA is filed under the name uncultured bacterium. Its description in RNAcentral is "partial 16S ribosomal RNA". It matches the Rfam family "Bacterial small subunit ribosomal RNA", at positions 28 to 507 of the family's 1533-position model. The record is from RNAcentral.